UUGGUGACGUCAGGCAGCUGGCCGCCGAGUCUACGCAAAUGAUUUGCAUAAUGAGGAAGCAGCCGCCAAUCAGAGUGGGAGUUGACUGGGCUCGCCGGGGGCGGGGGGGGCGGCUGGGCUCACGCGCUCCUGCUCGCCAUGGCAACCGGACCCUCGAAUGCCCUGUGUGUGUCGAGUGUGUGCGGGCGUGGCCGUGGAUCGCGCGUGUGCGCCUUGGGCCGCGUGAGGGGAAGCAGCUUCGUCAUGCGUGAUGGUGUCUGCCGGAGUCGGGGCUAAUCCCCACCGCACACACAGGCACACACAGGCAAACGCAGGCACACGCAGGCACACACACCUCCAAACGCUGGUGCGUUUCCUGCGGGGGUGGAUGGGGAUUCCUCUUCUCUAUUCCCACUAUCGAGCCAGUCCCUCGGAGCCAAUCCCACCCCGCCCCAUCACACAUCUCUGUCUUCGGUGUCUUUAACCACUUUCUUACCCCUGAGCCUCAGACACAUUCGUCUCCCUUGCAGCCUUAAAAAGAAAGGAAGAAUAAAAUAAAAACCCCUUAAACACUCCUUGAACACGGAUUCCUCCUUAGGAGAGUGAGGGAACUUAGCCGUAUUUACUCAGAACCCAUUAUGCACCAGGUGCCCAGUUCAUCCCAGUUCUGUGAACUCAGGAGUGUUCUCUUUUUCCGGAAAAGGAAGCUGAGGUUCUGAGGGUCGAGGAUGUUAGGGCCAGGCCCACCCCAACAUUUGUUGGGCCCAGCGCAAAAUAAGAAAUGGAAAUCGACAUACUGUGCAUCUAAACAUUUAAAAGAUACAAAUCAAAUUACAAUUUGUUAAAUAUGUUCCCCUCUUAUUUUCACAAAUACAGGUUCAGAAUUACGAAAAUGAAAGACAUAUGUACAGCUACGCUUUCUAUAUGACUGAAAGUUGGCAAAAUAUCAGAGCUGAUGGAAUUUUAUUACUCCUGCACAUGUCUAGGUAUUCUCUUGAUGGAUCAGUGAUGUUUGCACAAAGUAGUAAUACAAUGUUUGGACAAAGACACAUACUUCAUAAAUUAUAUAUUUAUUCCAUAAUAUAUUUUUCAUGCCUCUUUCAGUAAAAUUGCUAAUUAUUUUAAUAGAGAUUUCCUUUUUUUUUUUUUGAUAGGUUAUCAUUCUGUCACCCAGGCUGUAGUGCAGUGGUGCGAUCUAAGAUCACUGCAGCCUCAACCUCCUGGGUUCAAGCGAUCCUCCCACCUAAGCCUCCCAAGUAGCUGGGAUGACAGGUGCACGCUACCAUGCCUGGAUAAUUUUUUUUCUUUUUUUUUUUUUGUAGAGAUGGUGGUUUCACCAUUCUGCCCAGGCUUGUCUAGAACACUCCUGAGCUCAAGUGAUCCACCCACCUCGGUGCCCCAGAGUGCUGGGAUUACAGGAGUGUGCCACUGCACCUGGCCUAAUAGAGAUUUUAACAUAACUUGUGUCCAUUGACUAUUCUAAGAAACUGCUGGAGACCAGCAGUAGCAACUGGAAUCAUCAAAAAGUUCUUAAAACAAUAUUCAAUUCAGAAGCAAAUCAUGAUUUUUAAAUGAUUUAUUUUUCUGGCUGAGCAUGGUGACUCACACCUGUAAUCCCAGCACUUUGGGAGGCCAAGGCGGGCAGAUCACUUGAGGUCAGGAGUUCAAGACCAGCCUGGCCAACAUGACAAUAUCCCGUCUCUACUAAAAAUACAAAAAUUAGCCAGGCAUGGUGGCGGGCUCCUCCUACUCUGGAGGCUGAAGCAGGAGAAUCGUUUGAACCCACGAGGUGGAGGUUGCAAUGAGCCAAGAUCGUGUCACUGCACUCCAGCCUGGGUGACAGAGUGAGAUUCCAUCUCAAAAAAAAAAAAAAAAUGCAGCAGCAAAUUAUGAUUUUCAAAAAUCAUUUUUCUGGCGGGAUGCGGUGGCUCACACCAGUAAUCCCAGCACUUCAGGAGGCCGAGGUGGGUGGAUUGCUUGAGAUCAGGAGUUUGAGACCAGCCUGGCCAAUAUGGCAAAACCCCAUUUUUACUAAAUGAAUAAAUAAAUAAAAUAAAUUAUUUUUCUCCUUUAACAGAAAGUUACUCCUUGUAAUAAGUUGACCACGAAAUGGGUUACUGGAAUUUCAUUUUCAUUCAGUCCUAUGUAGUUUUUUUUUUUUUUUUUUUUUUGAGAUGGAGUCUUGCUCUGUCGCCCAGGUUGGAGUGCACUGGCCCGAUCUCAGCUCACUGCAAGCUCCGCUUCCCGGGUUCACGCCAUUCUCCUGCCUCAGCCUCCCGAGUAGCUGGGACUACGGUUGCCCGCCACUACGCCCAGCUAAUUUUUUUUGUAUUUUUAGUAGAGAUGGCGUUUCACCAUGUUAGCCAGGAUGGUCUCGAUCUCCCGAGCUCGUGAUCUGCUUGCCUAGGCCUCCCAAAGUGCUGGGAUUACAGGUGUGAGCCACCAUGCCUGGCCCAGUCCUAUGUAUUUUUUAAAAUUUUCACCCCAAAAGUAGUAAAACAAUUCAAAAAUCAGAACAAAGUUCUCUGCAGAAAAAGAAAAAUACAGUAAAAAAUUUCCUUGAGGCUUCCUCUUUGAUCCAUAUAUUAUUUAUAAAUGUAUUGUUUAGUUUCUAAGUGUUUGGAGGUUUGCCUAUUAUUUUUCUGUUAUUGAUUUCUAGUUUGAGUCCAUUGUGGUCAGAACACACUGUGUAUAAUUUCAAUUUUUUUUUUUUUGAGAUGGAGUCUCGCUUUUGUCACCCAGGCUGGAGUGCAGUGGCGUGAUCUUGGCUCACUGCAACCUCUGCUUCCCGGGUUCAAGCAAUUCUCCUGCCUCAGCCUCCUGAGUAGCUGGGAUUGCAGGCACCCGCCACCAUGCCCGGCUAAUUUUUGUACUUUUAGUAGAGAUGGGGUUUCACCAUGUAGUCCAGUCUGGUCUCCAACUCCUGACCUCAGGUGAUCCGCCUGCCUCAGCCUCCCAAAGUGCUGGGAUUACAGGUGUGAGCCACUGUGCCCAACCUUGUAUUUUUAGUAGAGAAGCGGUUUCACCAUGUUGGCCAGGCUGGUCUUGACCUCCUGACCUCAAGUGAUCUGCCCACCUCAGCCUCCCAAAGUGCUGGGAUUACAAGUGAGAGCCACAGUGCCUGGCCCUAUAUGCUUGCUGAUUUUGUCUAGUUGUUUUAUCAAUUGUUGAGAGAAAGGUGUUGAAGACUUCAAUUGUAAUUGUGGAUUUGUCUAUUUCUCCUUUCAGUUCCAUUAGUUUUUGCUUCACAUAUUCUGUAGCUCUGUCAUUUGGGGCAUAAACAUUAAAAACUGUGAUGCCUUGAUGAAUUGAUACUUUUAUUAUUAUGCAAUGUCACUCUGUUCUUGGUAAGCUUUUUGUGUGGAGAGCUACUUUGAUAUUAAUAUAGCCAUUUAUGUUUUCUUUUGAUUAAUCUUUGCAAAAUAUACCUUUUUCUAUCCUUUUACUUUCAAGCUACGUAUAUAGCUGUAUUUAAGUGAGUUUAUUUUAGACAGCAUAUAAUUGGGUCAUUUUUUUAAAGUCCACUCUACUAAUCUUUGUCUUAGUUGACAUAUUUAGACCAUUUACAUUUAAUGUAAUUAUUGGUAUUACAGGUGUGAGCCUGUAAUUUACAUUUACAUUUAAUGUAAUUAUUGGUAUGUUAGGGCUUAAGUCUGUCACUUAAUUUUUUGUUUUCUUUUUGUUGCCUAUGUUCUUCAUUUCUCUUUUCUUUAUCUUUCUUCUUGUUUUUUUGUUUUGUUUUGUUUUGUUUUUUUAGAGAUGGGGUCUUGCUAUGUUGCCCAGAAUGGUCUCAAACUCCUGGCCUCAAGCAAUCCUUCCACUUUAGCCUCCCAAGUAGCUAUUAUUACAGGCAUGAGCCACUACACCUGGUUCAUUUCUGUUUUAUUUUUCCUGUGCUCUUGUUGAUAAAGUGUUUCUUAUUCUAUACAUACAUAGCUUAUCACAGUGUACCGGUAUUGACAUUUUGCCAGUUUGAGUGAAGUGUAGAAACCUUACCUACUAUUAAGUCCCUUUAUCCUCCCUCAUUUAUAAUUACCUUAAGUAUUUCCUCUAUAUAUUUCAGAACCACUUUAGACAAUGAUAUACAAUCAGCAUUUAUAAAAAACUUCAGAAGCAUUAAAGUCUAUCGCAUUUACCCACAUUUUCCUUCUUUCAGUUGUUUUUUCUCCCUUUCUGACAGUCCAAGAUUCCUUAUUUUAUCAUUUCCUUUACAUUUUAAGAACUUCCUUUAGCCAUUCUUUUAGAGUAGUUAUGUUGGUGACAGAUUCUCUAAGUGUUCCUUCAUCUGAGAAUGUCUUGAUCUCCCCUCCAUUUCUGAAGUAUACUUUUGCUGGAUAUUGAAUUUUGGUUUGACAGUUCUUUUCUUUCAGCUCUUGAAAAAUGUGCCACUUCUUUCUGGCCUUUGUAGUAUCUGAUGAGAGAUCCUGUUUUUCUCUUAUACAUAAGAGAUUGUCAUCUCUUUCUCAAUUCUAUGUUUGUCUUUAACUUUCAGAAGUUUGAUUAUUAUGUGUCCUGAUAUGGAUUUCUUUGGCUUUAUCCUGUUUGGCGCUCACUUUCUUUAAUCUGGAGAUUUAUGUCUUUCGCUAAAUUUGAAUAGUUUUCAGCCAUUAUUUCUUCAAGUACUUUUUAAGCCCAUCUCCCCUCUCCUCUCUCUCCAUGACAGGAGUGUUAGAUCUUUUGUAAUAAUCCUAUAGGUCCCUGAGACUCUAUCUA
RNAcentral lists this long non-coding RNA (4692 nucleotides) under Homo sapiens (human). RNAcentral describes it as "HSALNT0382155". Lineage: Eukaryota; Metazoa; Chordata; Mammalia; Primates; Hominidae. The record is from RNAcentral.